AGCCCUAGCUCCGACCUUCAGAACCUUCCAGAUUCUUUCUCUUUCGCUUUAUUUCCAUUUCUUUCAAUUCUGAAACAAGCUUCUUCUAGGGUUUUUCCGCCCCUUGCUUUCCUCAAUUUGGCUUCAUCACUCAAUUCCUACCAGAGAUAAUAUCAUUUUUGGCCGCUUUACUGUUUACGUUUCCUUACGCUCUCUGCCCCUAAACAAUCCCGAGAGCGACCACCGGCCUCUGGAAGUUUCAGGGUUGGGCUGCACAGAGUUGAAUUUCUAGUGUUUUCUGAGUAGAAAGUGAUUCGAG
This 298-nucleotide unclassified non-coding RNA is filed under the name Hevea brasiliensis (rubber tree). Lineage: Eukaryota; Viridiplantae; Streptophyta; Magnoliopsida; Malpighiales; Euphorbiaceae. The record is from RNAcentral.